CUGGUGGAGCGGAUAGAUGCGUAAUUACAGAAUGUAAAAACGGCGUCGAGAGACGAGCUCAACUUGCCAUGUGUUAUAAUUUCCAUGUGGAUGACGUCACGCAGUCCUUGACGCUCGCGCCGAUGAGAUAACGGGACUGUGACACGCUACGCGUUUCGCAGGCACACUAAAAGCUACACGUGAACAGGUCAUUGGUUUAUAAGGCGUUUUAAAGGGACGUUCGCAGUCCGUUCUCCUCCGUUGUUAAUUACGUAGUAGCCUGCGAGUUGCCCUACUCCUCUUACACAUAUCUGUAUUACAUAAAAGGCAGAGAGCAUCGCAAGGACUACGUCGUCACGAGAAAUGAUUGACCGAUGACGUUGUUUUUCUGAAAUACUGUUACAGUGCAUGCACACGUGGUCACUCAACAGUAAUGUCUACAGAUCGGAGUUACAGCUGCCUCAAAACCGAGGCAAUGACACAAUCACAGUGGCAACCCUGUGUUGGUGCACAGGCAGAGCUGUGACUCUAGCUUUGCAAUCUCCUGACCUCUGUGACCUUUGAGUCGAGAUGGCGACCCACCGAAAGCACCUGGUCCGAGAUUUCAACCGAUACAUCACCUGCUCAAUUUGCCGUGGGUACCUGAUAAAGCCCACUGCUGUCACAGAAUGCCUGCACACUUUUUGUAAGAGUUGUAUUGUUCAGCACUUUGAGGAGAGUAAUGAAUGUCCAGAAUGUGGGAUACAAGUCCAUGAAACCAACCCUUUAGAGAUGCUGAGGCUAGAUAAGACCCUGGAGGAGAUUAUCUUCAAGCUGGUGCCCGGACUAAGAGAGAAGGAGGAACAACAGGAAGUUGAGUUCUGGAGAAAAAAUAAGAUCAAAUCAAAUGGAGAAGAUGGCCCUAGGGCUAAGAAAUCCCGCUUGAGCGAUGAAGAGGAUGAUGAUGGAGGAGGUGGAGACUACCACAGGAGUGAUCCUCAGAUCGCUAUUUGUCUGGAUUGUCUACGAAACAAUGGCCAAUCAGGAGAAAGCAUAGUUAAGGGUUUAAUGAAGAAAUUCAUCCGUUGCUCCACCCGUGUUACGGUGGGGACCAUUAAGAAGUUCCUCUGUGUAAAAUUGAAGCUGCCAAGCUCUUAUGAGCUCGAUGUUUUGUGUAAUGGAGAGAUCAUGGGCAAAGACCACACCCUGGAAUUCAUCUACCGCACUCGCUGGAGACUUCAGGGUGACAGCGUAAGUGUGUAUGUGUGGAUGUCAGUUUUUGCCAAUAUUGCUGGGAAUCAAUGUGGGGGAUGAGAAAUAUAUGCUCAGUGUAAAAACAACAGUUACCACCAUUUUUGAAAACAAUGUGAGUGUUUUUGUAUUGCGACAUUACCUUACUUUAGACUGACCUGCAAGGGGGUGAUAGGAGGUCUGCAAAAAAUUAGCAAAUUUUUUUACGUUAUGGCCUGAUUUCAUACACAGGGCUUAGACUAAAUCAGGAUUAGGCCAUAGUUCGAUUGAGACAUUUAGGCAAUUUUUAUAAAAUUGUCUUAUAAGCAUUACUGGUGUGCAUCUUAAAACAAAACAAAGGCACUGACAUUUUUUAAGAUCAGUCAGUGCAGGUUUCUUUCAGUUGAAACUGCUCUGAUUUACAUUUUAAACUAGGACUAGGCUUAAUCAUUGUCUGUGAAACCCAGGAGAUACAGUCACAUUCAGAAUAUUGAAUCUUGACUGAUAUUACUAAUUUAUUUUAGUUUAUAACUGGUCAUAUAUCAGUUUGUUCUAUUUUAUUCUAUUAAAACAGCAAAAAACAGAAAAACUUACUAAAAUUAGUUUUCCCAGAUAAUAUUUAAAUGCCAGUAUAAAAAGUUGGUUUUCUAAAUGCGUUAUUAACCUUAUUUUAAAGGAUUCUUUCUUGAAUGUUAAAUUUGUAACUUUUUCUGAACUUGUAAUUUUUAAUCAAAACUUGAUCUUGCAAUAAAACAACAGAAUUCCUUCUGGUGAAAUAUACUGAUGUCUACAAAUCAUUUAGUCCAUUUUUUUACAGUCGCUGCAAGCUUGCAUUCAAAUGUGCCUCUGUCUGAUCAAGAACUGAUGUAAUGAACCAAAACCGCACACUUUUCACACAGUAUGAAUGGGGUUUUAGAAAUGACAAUCAUAUUGUAGGAUGGGAGUCAUAAUAAUUGGAUAUCUUUUGGUUUUAAAAAGAAAAGAAAAACUGGAAACCCUUUAAAUGAUUAAAAAGUUAGUUUGACCCUGAUUACGUGGGUGUGUUUGAGUGUGUGUGUGUGUGUGUGAAGAAGUGUGAACAGCUGUCGCUGAGUUGGUGGUGUUUGUGGGGGGCAUGAGCAAAAAAAACUGCUCACAGCUACUGACAGAUCUAUGAGUCAUAUUUCUCCAGUUACACACAGACUAGAAGUUGACACAAAAUCAGAGGACACAUUGAUGUCCCUAGGCUUAUCCCAUGGUCCUCGAGUACCGCCCGAGGAUCGACUUUGGUUAAACAGCACUUACAGCUUUGCGGAAAUCUCAUGCAGACUGAUGUCAAGAGAUGAACAAAAAGCAGAAAAACUGAAUGAUUGUGCCUCCGUUGAAAGACAACAACACAAAGCCCCGUGACUGACAGGACUGCUCUCUUCUUCCUGUGCACUGCUUCAGCCUCUACUCCUCCAUUCCUCCCUCCUUCAUGUUCCUGUUUGACAGUUGUGGCUCCACCCACUGGCUCUGUAUCAAGUUUGAUGAUUAUAUUCUUCCAAAGCUUUCUCUGCAUGUUGUCUCUAUGACGACGCCUUAGCGUAGAGCGGCCCAUUGGGAUUAUCUGAUAGCAAUCUAGCACAGACAGUAAGCAAAAACUGCACCCCGGCCAGGUGACAGGAGUGAGGGGAAAUGUAGACAUUUUCAAGUUGAAGUCUCACUAGAUUUUAGGUCGUUUAUUAGCCGUUUUUAUCCAAGAGAUUGCACUAGAGGCAAAUCCAGAAGUCUCGCUGUACUGUUGCUGUUACCUUUACAUUCUUUCUCUUUCCUUUUAGUUACUUUUCUCUCACCGCCCACAAUGUCCCUCAUAAAUUCAGCGACUCUUUUUCAUGUCAUCAUUCUCUCUCCCUUUCGUUCGCUCACACAACUCUCGCCUCUUUCCAUCUUCCCUCAUGCUCUCCCAUUUUUCUCCAAUGGUGUUUUUGGCUCUGGACUGAAGUAUUGAUGGAUCUCAUUCAGUUGGAAUUGAAUGAGAGCGCUGUAGAUGUCCCAAAAUAACAGCACUGAAAGGCACUCUGGGUAAGCGAGCUAAGGCCAAAUCUUACAUUCGUCCAAACCAGAUCAUUAUCUUAAUAGAAUUGAUCUAACAAUAACUGAUGCCAGAUAUGCUUAAUGCAGUAAUUCACUGAGAAAUCUCAUCUUUAAAAAAUAGUUGAAUGGGGAAUGACUGAAGUGUGCCAGCUGCAUCUCUCUAAGAGCAGCUUUGGCUCGCAGGCUGUUAGCUGUGAACAUUCAGUUAUUUCCUGUUUAAAAUGAUAUAUUUAAAUGAGAUAAUACAAUCAAAUUCACCUUAACAGAUCGCGUUUGAAUUUUGGUCCCACUUUAUGUUAGGUGACCUUAGCUACUAUGUAGUUCCUUUUAAAUUAAUCAUUUGAUACAAUGCACUUAUUGUGUACAUGUUUUUACGUUGUACUUAUAUUUAAAACAAAUAUUAAUAAUGUCUGAAACCACAUUACACUGUUGACCAAUCACAGACUUUAACCCACCCUUAAACCACCACAAACCAACAAACUUGUCCCUUAACUCAGUGGCAUGUGUGUUUUACUAUACAAUAUAAACGCAAUAAUUAUAUUGUACUUAAAUCAAGAAUUAAGUUAUGGUCACCUAACAUAAAGUGCAUUUGAAAAAUCAGCACAGAGAAUGUUAAUGUUUUACAGUGUAUUUUGAGUGUUGUGUGGGAAAACGAGUGUUUAAGGGACAUGCCAAAAAUAUAUUUGGUUAAUCCUACUUCUGCAAAUUGUAAUAAGUCAAAGUGCUCCUCUAUUACGCAGCAUAUAUCAAGUCAUGGACAUGUUUGUGAGGAGAGAGUUAGAGAUUCAAUCAUCAUGUUUUAGACAUUCUAGCUAAGAGUGUUAUUUGGAGUAUUACUUCAGAUAAGAUCAUAGGUUAACUUUUUAAGUUUGUUUACAUGACAAUGUUAGUCUUUAAUGUAUGUGUAGUAGCGUAUGAUAGGAAAAUUCCAUUUUAAAUCAUGAAUACAUUUAAAUAACUGAACACCAAAAGUUGCCAAACCGAUUUUAUGCACAUUCCCAAAAUACUUUGUGAGAACCAAGGGUUCAAAACAUGGAACUUUGCCAAUCCAGAUUAUAUUUCUAAGAUUAAUUUAAUGUGAUGGUACUCGACGUAGAACAUAGGAUGGUAUUUGACGUAGGAUUACAUUAAUUAUUACGUGAACCUUUGUUUUGGAUCAUCUCAGGGGAUGACAACUGGUGAAAUGAGGGUUUGUUCAAUGUUCUCCACUUCUAAAUUAGAAUCGAGGAAUCAUAAGAGUGGGUUUUAGAAAGUUGCUUUAGUGCUGUAAGUCAAUACAGUUAAUCAAAAUAUGCAUAUAGAAUAAGACUGAAUUUAUUGGCAACGCCGUUUUCAGUGCAUUGUACCCAUGCAUAACAAUAGUGGAAAUAUAUUUGUCCAGAUGUCUUUACGACAAGCUAAACCUUCAUGUUAUACCAACAUGAUCUGUUGUACUGAAUCUUAAAAAUCAUCUGCACUCUCUGUCAGUUCAGUGGAAUUCUUGAUGUUGUUGUUUAGGACAAAGGCCACUGGCUGCUCUCCAAAAUCCAAUUUCCUCCCCACUAACAAAACAUGCAAAUCAAAUAUGAAGUGUCUUUAAGCUCUGAUUAUAAAUACAAUGUAUUUUUGUAUGUUGAAUCACUUAUGUAUAUUUGAACGUAUAAUCAAAAGAUUUUAUGUCAAUGCUUGUCUUUUUCCUAAUAGAUGAUGCUGCUUGGGGUAAUUUAUUCUUUUUUUAUAUGUCCCACCGCCUGCUAUAAGUGUUCCCCUUGUAAAUGUUCGCACUGUACAUGAAAAGCUUCCUAAUGCUGUUCAUGACCUAUUGUUAUUUAAUUAAUGAACAUUAAAAUAUGAAAAAUUGUG
This is an RNA transcript of Puntigrus tetrazona (Sumatra barb), 5085 nucleotides long. It is a transcript of the gene named polycomb group ring finger 5a, with no coding region annotated. The record is from RefSeq and is a predicted model, not a curated record. The transcript is spliced from 9 exons. Lineage: Eukaryota; Metazoa; Chordata; Actinopteri; Cypriniformes; Cyprinidae.